RNAcentral lists this ribosomal RNA (447 nucleotides) under uncultured bacterium. RNAcentral describes it as "bacterial SSU rRNA". It matches the Rfam family "Bacterial small subunit ribosomal RNA", at positions 330 to 793 of the family's 1533-position model. The record is from RNAcentral.
GCCAGACUCCUACGGGAGGCAGCAGUGGGGGAUAUUGCACAAUGGGGGGAACCCUGAUGCAGCGACGCCGCGUGGGUGAAGAAGUAUUUCGGUAUGUAAAGCCCUAUCGGCAGGGAAGAAAUUGGACGGUACCUGACUAAGAAGCCCCGGCUAACUACGCGCCAGCAGCCGCGGUAAUACGUAGGGGGCAAGCGUUAUCCGGAUUCACUGGGUGUAAAGGGAGCGUAGACGGCCAUGCAAGCCUGGAGUGAAAGCCCGGGGCCCAACCCCGGGACUGCUCUGGGAACUGUGCGGCUGGAGUGCGGGAGGGGCAGGCGGAAUUCCUGGUGUAGCGGUGGAAUGCGUAGAUAUCAGGAGGAACACCGGCGGCGAAGGCGGCCUGCUGGACCGCGACUGACGUUGAGGCUCGAAAGCGUGGGGAGCAAACAGGAUUAGAUACCCGUGUAU